AUGCAUUUUGGAGAUUUGGUAUGC
Molecule: non-coding RNA, 24 nt
Filed under: Arabidopsis thaliana (thale cress)
Lineage: Eukaryota; Viridiplantae; Streptophyta; Magnoliopsida; Brassicales; Brassicaceae
Source: RNAcentral